RNAcentral lists this ribosomal RNA (465 nucleotides) under Vreelandella stevensii. RNAcentral describes it as "partial 16S ribosomal RNA". It matches the Rfam family "Bacterial small subunit ribosomal RNA", at positions 338 to 795 of the family's 1533-position model. The record is from RNAcentral. Lineage: Bacteria; Pseudomonadati; Pseudomonadota; Gammaproteobacteria; Oceanospirillales; Halomonadaceae.
CCUACGGGUGGCAGCAGUGGGGAAUAUUGGACAAUGGGCGAAAGCCUGAUCCAGCCAUGCCGCGUGUGUGAAGAAGGCCUUCGGGGUGUAAAGCACUUUCAGUGGGGAAGAAAGCCUUGGGGCUAAUACCCUCGAGGAAGGACAUCACCCACAGAAGAAGCACCGGCUAACUCCGUGCCAGCAGCCGCGGUAAUACGGAGGGUGCGAGCGUUAAUCGGAAUUACUGGGCGUAAAGCGCGCGUAGGCGGUCUGAUAAGCCGGUUGUGAAAGCCCCGGGCUCAACCUGGGAACGGCAUCCGGAACUGUCAGGCUAGAGUGCAGGAGAGGAAGGUAGAAUUCCCGGUGUAGCGGUGAAAUGCGUAGAGAUCGGGAGGAAUACCAGUGGCGAAGGCGGCCUUCUGGACUGACACUGACGCUGAGGUGCGAAAGCGUGGGUAGCAAACAGGAUUAGAUACCCCAGUAGUC